This 808-nucleotide unclassified non-coding RNA is filed under the name Hevea brasiliensis (rubber tree). Lineage: Eukaryota; Viridiplantae; Streptophyta; Magnoliopsida; Malpighiales; Euphorbiaceae. The record is from RNAcentral.
GCUUCUAGCUCAUCAAAAGAGCAGCAAUCUCAACCUUAUCCAGGGCAACCAGUUAAACGCAGAAAGCGACACAGGAGAAAGCAUGUUCAAAACCAGGAACCAUGCCUAAUGAGAGGUGUCUAUUUCAAAAAUAUGAAAUGGCAGGCAGCAAUUAAAGUUGACAAGAAGCAAAUCCACUUGGGGACUGUUGGUUCACAAGAAGAGGCUGCCCAUUUGUAUGACAGGGCUGCCUUCAUGUGUGGGAGGGAACCCAACUUUGAGCUUCCUCAGGAGGAGAAGCAAGAACUUGGAAAAUUCAAAUGGGAUGAAUUUUUGGCAAUUACUCGCAGUGCAAUUAAUAAUAAAAAACACAAGAGACGGAAUGGAGCUGAGUUGCACAAGAGAUCUGAACCCGAAUUGCAGAACGGUGACUGGGAUGACAAGCAAGGAGCCAACAGCUUUUCAGCUUCAGAAGAUGUGGAGCCAGACUCAUCCACCUCCUGAAUAUUUUGGUUUCGGAAAUGAGGCUGAAUAAUCCUUUUCUAACAGUGGAGCUUUAGCUUGUCCUCCAUUUUUGCUGUACAAAGUCCCCUAUUAGGACAGAUGAUGGCAGACAUCAUCUUUUAGCAAGGAGAUCUUUACACUUUUAACUCAAUAAAGAGACAGAAAGCGCAAAUAUUAAAUGGCUGCCACUGUCUGCAAUCACCAUCAUCUGCAGACCCUGUUAAAUACAUAGCUAUACUUGGUUACUUGUCUUUUAUAUUUUUCUUCUUUUCCUCUUUUGGCCUUCAUUGUGGAUGUUGGAAAACAGCAGAAUUUCUUUGCACCA